GGGCAGUGGAACAGCUCCUGCUGGAUCUAAGAGAUCAACCCAAAAUACUGUAAAAAUCUGUAGGUUUUCCCCUAAACAUUGUAAAUUCUCCUUUCUCUAGGUCUGACCUAAAUGCCAUUAACCUUUCAAGGAAACAUUUACAAAUCUGAUAGUCUUCUGUGAUGGCAUGGCAGGAUGGGUCAGUGACGGGAGAGCAGCGGAUGUUAUCUUAUCUCCACUUCAGCAAGGCUUUUGACACUAUCCAGCAUAACAUCGUUGUAGGAACAAAGAAGAGACAGUGUCCCUGCCUCCAAGGUAGUAUAAUCUCAGAUAUCAAACCUGGAAAUCUCAUGGCACUUUAAUAGCUGUGCAAGGGUCUGAAGAUAUGCUGAACAUAUGUGAAGACGUAAUGGGGUACUUGAAAUGGUAAGACUGAGGUGAAUAUAGAAAUAAGUCUGGGGUGGGAUUUCCUUUAUUUUCCAAAUAUUGUCUCAGAUAUCAGUUAUCCACAGUUCAAUUUUCUUAAAGCACUAUGACAGCAAAAAGAGUUGAAGGUAUAAUUAGUGUGGUAGAAGAAGAGCAGGAAAUUAAAACAAAUUCUACCCAUUCAAACUCACAGAGAAACAUGGGUGGUGAAUCAUAUAGCAAAAGACAAGCCUCUGAAGAAACAGACUUCAAAAGUAAUUGUUCAACCCAACAAGAAUAUUGGUGACUACUCUGUUCUCAUCUGCAGGAAAGAUUCCGGUUUUGUUAAUAUAACAGGACACAGUAAGAAAGACUUGGAAAUUUCCACUUACUGGACUUGCAAACAAGUAAAUUGUGCAUUUUUCUGAAGUGCUUUCCUUUUAAAGGUGCCUGAAGGGUAAUGUGUGCAGAUUAUUUAUGAAGUGUAACCUUGCACUUGGAAGAAGUCCAGAAAGAAAGUCUGGACCCAGUUUACUUGCUCUUUGAACUUUCCAAAAUAGAGGAGUUCCCAAGUAAAUAGAGGAAUCAUGUGGCUAGCUUGAGUCUUAUCUUCUGCUACUUAAUCCUGUCACAAAUGGCAUGCUAUUGCUGAGCAAAGAGGACUAUCUGCCAAAGAUGUAGCAUUACUGCAGGCAGCAUGUAUUCCUCCCACAAUACUAUGGGAAGUAAAAAGCCCUAACAAUACAGCAUGGUUUUGUAAUGACUCUAGUACUGCUAUUUUAUGCUUUUUGGAAAUGUUUUUUUUUUAAAAAGUAUUUUAUUUACCUUGUUCCUAAGCAGGUUCCUCAGUAUAAACUAUAUAUAAUAUUGCUGUAAAAUACCUGGUUCGCUGGUGUUAUUGAAAGUGCUAUGUUUGCUGUGGCAGCUGUCUGCAUAACAUCUGAGAAAUCAGAAGUGUCAAUACCAAACGUAAAGGAAACUCUGGUAUCUUUGAUCCUGCUAUGUGGUAACUAUGUUGUCAGAUGUGAAUGGAGGUGUGUAUGAAGAACAAGGCACAAAAUUGUGAGUAAAUCAGGUUAAACAUAUCAAACACCUUGCUUGGGAUUACCAGCUCACUUGCAGAAACUCCUGUAAAGUCCUAAUGAACUGUUAAGAGGCCCUGGAUACACUCUGUCAUGUAAUCUGACAGACAGGAGACACCAAUGUCACAAAGAUGGCAGCCCUUUUACCACUCCUAUUGCCAUAGCUCAGAUGAGCAAGCACGUUCCUACCAGAGGUGAGGAGGUGGCUCCCUGCAGCCGGACUGCACUGCAGAUCUGGGGCCUCCUCCGGCAGGUGCUGACUCCCUGGAGUACCACAUCACUCUCACCAGAGGGUUUUCGAUCAACUCUUGGCUGUGAAGGCAAUGACACAGAGUGCCUUCAGAUCACAGCAUCUCUACAGCCAUUUGAAUUUAAAAACAAUGGAAAAAGUGUUGCUUAGAUUUAAAAUGAAAGCUUGUUGCACAGCUGGCUUUUCCCACUCUGUUCUCAACAAGAUGAUUUAAGGCCCCACCUGCACAAAGGUCUGGGGGCUGAGCUCUUGACCAGGCUGGCCAAUCAUCUACUUCAACACCUUUUAGCUCUUCUCUAGCUCGUGGCUUUCAGCCAGGCCACGGCUGAAAGCUUUUCUAAAAGCUGAGCUUUGAGGUGAAUUGGUCUGCUAGCCUCCUGUCCCACCACUCUGAUUGCAACUUGCAUUUAAAGCCUACAACCACCAGAUUUGCAGUCUUGCGCUCUCUCAUCGUAACUCCUGCUUCCACUCCCUGACCUUCUGACAGGUUUACAGAUCUGCCUGGAAAGAGAUGCUAGACUGAUUCCUGAGGGAUUGUUCAUGUGGAUAACUCUGAUUCAGGCUCACAGGAAAAACAAAAAUCUACACAGGAGGAGGGAUGGGGGAAGCUCAGGUGGCUUAGGACUGAGUAAAAGAAACCCUUGGAGACAAACAUACUCAAAGAUUACUUAAAAUGGUGGAUUUGAAGAAAAUCUUAUCACCAUUAAAAACACACUCAGAGGAAACCCUCACUCUCCUGAGUGCUAUUACAGAGUAAACACCGUAUGUUAAACCUCUGAGCUGUGAAGCGAGGGUGUCCUGUGUUAUUUGAUGAAGAAUGGCUGAGAGCAACUCAGAGGGCCUCGAAAAACCUAGUGGACCUUAACUUUAGAAAAUCAUAUGGUGCUUCAUCAUAGGAUAAGCGUCAGUUACCUUUUUGGAUAGAGCAUUGUCAAGAAUUACACCAGAACCUUCAGGUAUACACAAGCAAUAGUCUGUGUUUGGGAAGGGAAGUUUCCAAAUUUGCAGAGUUUGUCCAGUGCCUUUAGCAAUACAAAGUUAGAAGGAUAAAUUUGGUACUUACUGGAGUCUAAGUUUAUAUCUACAUUAACAACCAUAGCACCAGUAGUGAAAGGGGAGGUGACUGCCCAUGUUCUGAUUGUAGCAACCCCUAAUUCAGGACUGCAAAUCUGUGUCUCUUUGGUAGAACAAUGCAUAUGUUUUACCUCAUCAAGCCUCGUCACUGCCCUGUGCAUAAAAUUGUUGUAAGAAGUACCUCAUAGUUUAUGCACUUCGGAGCCAGUUUGGAUGUAUGAGUGUAGGGAACCACACCUGCAGUCACUGUGUGACUGAGCUAUGGACUAGGUACAUCAUACUAUUUAUGCUUCACCAUUGUAUAGACUUGUCAGGGGAAUUGAUAAGAGUGAGCUCAGUAAAAAUCUCCAGAACAGGGGCUUGCUGAGGCACUGCAGUACAUAAACAGAUCUGUCUUUCUGAAUGUUUGCCCCAAGCAGCACCAUCGUGCAGCUGCAGCCCUGGCUGCUGCUUCGCCUUUGACUGCACAGUGAGAGGGAGGAAGUGUACCACUGCUCUCACCCUUCCUCUCACAAGCAGCAAGGGUAGCAGCUUCUCGCUCGAGGUGCCCAGCACGAAAGAUGCCUCUUCCCUCUCUCACGGGAAAGAAACAGCAGGGUACAUUAUUCUUCCCUACAGUUUCAAAGUAGCACUUCUGGCACUAACGGUCUGCAUAUCUCAUUUUGCAUAUGUUUGCUCUAAAGGGACUUCUGAGGCGUCGUCUUCACGUCUAUCUGCUUAGACUGCUGCAAGACUUGUCUGGGCUCAUCUUGAACAAACCAGCUGGCAGACUGCAAGCAGUAGAGCUCAGCUCAGUAGGCUUUGUUACCAUUAUUGUGGAUACUUGGUAGUUCUCUUUAAGUAAUUUGCAUCCUGGUUAGCAGCUCUCAUCAUCUUUGUUCCAAAACCUGGCCAAUGCUGGUUGGAAAUGGAGUGAAUACAGCUUGUAGCUUCUUAAGAUAUUCUUAUUUUAAGAACACUUGAAAGAAUGGAUCCUUACACCAAAAGUACAGCAUUUAGAGAAAGAAAAUUCAUGCUCAGAUACAUAUUCUCUUGCAAAAGUAAAAUCAGACAUAAUGCAAUUGGUUAUGAGUUAUUAUUUGGUACACCUUAGCUUCAGAUUCUGGCCUCUAACUCUGUAAAUGUAUAGACAUGCUUAAUGAUCUGUGAAUCAUCUUAACAACAAUGUUCUUGUUAUCAGAUUAUAAUGAUGUUGGGUUGGUCCUGCAAAGAGAUAUUAUUAUCCAGUAUUGAGAGCUAAGUUUCAUAUGAAAAAUCAGCUCAAUACUCACCAGACAGCCACAAACCAUUGUUAGCCUUAACAGUAAUCUAUCAGUACUUGCACUUGUGAAUUAAAUGAAAAGAUUCGUGUUAUUCUUGUGGGAAGCUGAAGUCGUGUUCACAGAUGGGGCACAGCAUGUAAUUCCACCAAGGCUGAUACAACUUGUAUUACACUUGAGUUUCAUUCUAUGAAAUUCUUAUCUUGGAACUCCUUUUAAACCUAAUCCUGACUGCUCAUCAGUGGUCGCUCAUUUGCUAAGCAGAAAACAAAGUGUUUUCAUGAUUGCAAAACCAUCAAAUGAACACAAAUGGCAUCACGAGCCAGUAUGGUAUUUGGAUUGAAAAAUAUUCUGAGGUAGAUAAUACCUCCAACUCUAUAAAUCUUCUUGUAUGUCAGAAAGCUCUAUGGCUUCCCCAUGGAAAAAUAUUGCUAUCCUAUGAAUUUCAACUAAAAUGAAGUGUCUAGGAAAUAACAAGACUUAUGGACACAAACACUGAACUCCUCUUAGACCACAACCCUUUAUCUCACUAAAAGUGGCACGUGGUGAGAUUAGCAAUGCGAUAACUCAUGGAACUCUGGUCUUCAAUGUGCUGCUUAGCCAUUUCUCAUCUCGAGUCACUCAGACUUGCAUUUCUUUUUCUCUGGAAAAUGUCAAAGAACUCACAGAUCAAAACCAGGAGCUGACACAAACACACAGGUGCUGGAUCUAAGAAAUGAUUGAAUUGAGGAAUUAGAUGGGAAGUAAGAAUUUCAGAGUCCACAACUAUACCCCUUAUGCAAGUUUCUCAAACUUCUUGCACUUACUAGUAUUAGACUUGGCCAGUCUUUAGUCAGAAGCCCAUUGAUAUUCACAUCUUAGAGAUGAAAAGUGUAUUUUAUCAUUUGGAUGGGACUUUUUAUCCAAUGUCAGUAGUAAAUCAAAGCAUUACCUAGUGUUAAGAAGCACUGUGCUACUAAAAACAUUGCUUUGUCAUUGAAAUAUGUCCAUUAGUACUCCUGUGACUAGUCAGAUGAAUUAUAAACUAACAGAAUUUGAAUAACUGCCUUGCCAUGCUGCAAGGAAAGGUAAUGUCACUCCUGCUUAGUAUCACCUCAGGCUUUUCUACAUGCUGGAACUUGGUAUUUACUGGUAACUAACAGUGAAUUUAAAGUGCUGUCACAGUCAUUUUGCUCAGCUUCCAGAUCUAGGUGGUCAAAGCAUGUAAGGAACGAUCCACAAGAGAUGGCACAAAGCCGAAGGAUUUUUUCUUUUUUUUUUUUUUUAAUCUAUCCCUCUUUGUUUAGGACAGGAGUGUUUGUAAACCAGAGAGGCUGCUGCAGGUGCAGAGGACUCUGUUCCAGCUGGCAUUCGGAAAGAUCAAUUACCUACAUCAAAGCUGUUCUGCUGCCGUUGCUGUCUGGUUGCUUGUUUCUGAGGCUGCACAGGAACUGUACACACAAAGUGAAUUAAAAAGAGCAAGGUUCUGUGUUCAAUACCCUCUUCAAGUGGGCAAUCCAAUCAUUAACACCAGACAUCCUAAGUUCUCUUAAAGCUGAUCAGGUGAUGGGACAAUGUGAAAUGCUUUUGACUUUAAAAUGACACUUGGCAAUGGUAUACUAUUCUCGAUUGAGAAAGCAAGUGAAUUCAUGUAAUAUGAUGCUAUAAUUGAUGUAGGUUGCAUUUCUUUUUAAGUCGUUGAUUGGGAAUGAAUGGAUUAAUACACAAACCAUCUGAGAUUGUUACUGAAUUUAUUGUAAUCAAUGUUACUCUGCAAUAUUUUCCUCUUGCCUGUGAAGCAUUAAAAUGCUAAAGGGUGCCAACACGUGGUGUUAGUAGGGUGUUAUGACAGGAAUAUUACAAAUGUUUGUACAGGUUGUCACCAAUAUUUGAAGCCACUUGUAAAAACAGCACCUUAAUAUAACACAUUAUUACCAUACCCUACUGUAUGUAUGUACUGAUGUGCUUUUACUCGUUGGUACAGAACCUAAGGAUUACUAAUUAUUCACCCUUUUCUGCCUUCUUCCCAUGGGUGGUCUUGCAAAGACACAGUGUUAACAAUACCCUAACAACAGGCACAGGGACAAUGUUCAUGUGGUAAACUAUACAGUCAUAGUUACAUUGUAUGGAUGUGUUGCAUUAAUUUCUCAUUUACUGAUAACAUUGCUUAUUUUCAUGGAUCCCUUUCAGCAGAUCCUUUAAUAUCUACCAGACCUGACAGACAAAUAUUUCCCUUCUCUUUCAAAAAGGACACAUGACCAAGGCCCCAUAACGAAUAUGAUCUUGAACCAACUACUAUUUUUUGUAGUUCUAACAAUAUCAGACGUUUGAAGUGUGUUAUUUUGCAACCUCGUAGACAUGGGAAAUGUAAUUUAUCACAAAGAAGUCUUCUAUC
This is a long non-coding RNA of Strigops habroptila (Kakapo), 6423 nucleotides long. RefSeq lists it as uncharacterized. The record is from RefSeq and is a predicted model, not a curated record. The transcript has 2 exons. NCBI's taxonomy places the organism in Eukaryota, Metazoa, Chordata, Aves, Psittaciformes, Psittacidae.